This 450-nucleotide ribosomal RNA is filed under the name uncultured bacterium. RNAcentral's name for it is "partial 16S ribosomal RNA". It matches the Rfam family "Bacterial small subunit ribosomal RNA", at positions 354 to 796 of the family's 1533-position model. The record is from RNAcentral.
GUGGGGAAUUUUGGACAAUGGGCGCAAGCCUGAUCCAGCAAUGCCGCGUGCAGGAAGAAGGCCUUCGGGUUGUAAACUGCUUUUGUACGGAACGAAACGGUCCUGGUUAAUACCUGGGGCUAAUGACGGUACCGUAAGAAUAAGCACCGGCUAACUACGUGCCAGCAGCCGCGGUAAUACGUAGGGUGCGAGCGUUAAUCGGAAUUACUGGGCGUAAAGCGUGCGCAGGCGGUGCUGUAAGACAGGCGUGAAAUCCCCGGGCUCAACCUGGGAAUUGCGCUUGUGACUGUAGUGCUGGAGUGCGGCAGAGGGGGAUGGAAUUCCGCGUGUAGCAGUGAAAUGCGUAGAUAUGCGGAGGAACACCGAUGGCGAAGGCAAUCCCCUGGGCCUGCACUGACGCUCAUGCACGAAAGCGUGGGGAGCAAACAGGAUUAGAAACCCUGGUAGUCC